Molecule: long non-coding RNA, 647 nt
Organism: Danaus plexippus (monarch butterfly)
Lineage: Eukaryota; Metazoa; Arthropoda; Insecta; Lepidoptera; Nymphalidae
Exons: 2
Source: RefSeq, a predicted model, not a curated record
GUUCGCUCCGAGGGCCGGCCGCUAACUGGCGAGGCGCGCGCGCAAGCCUGUCCGCCGUCCAGCGACCGGAAGGAAGCUGCUCGAGAACUUCGCGAGUAAAAGUCUUCGGGCCCUGGUCCCCAGGCCUGCUCGCGGCCCGCGGUCUUUAUAAUAAUAUUAUCGUUUACUUUAUACAACCCACUCACUGAUCUGACCCACCAGAUAUUCCGCGACUACAGGUCAAUAUUUCUCUAAUUAUAAUUUGAAUUAUUUUAUUUAUUUCUAUUUUUUGUUUUAUAAGCUUUUAAAUGUUUUUAAUAAAAGAUAAAAUUCGUUAUAAUAAACUAUUAUUUUAUUAUUGUUUAUUUAAUAUAUUUUAUAUAUAGAUAUAUCUAAUAUUUACUAUUAGAAGAUAAAUAAAAAGUAUAUAAAGAAAACGUAGUCAAUACAAAGAAAUAGAUAAGCGUUAUCAGUGACGCUAUCAUCACGACUUAUGAUUACAGAUACGAGAUGCAGCACGGAGACUGAUAACGUUUACGUAACGUGAUAUCGAUCUAACCGUCUAACUCAACCGUUAUCACCGGCAGACGAGAUGAAAAUUUAGUGCAUCCGAGAACAUUGGUUUUAUUUACAUGAAAACUAAUGAAUAAAGCUCACUUUUUUAAAUA